UCCUCUAUAUCUGCAGUUUGAUGGGCUCUUUUGCUUUUAUGUAGUAUUUAGCUAAAGUUGGAGAAAAUCUGCAGAGAGCACUACGUACUUCCUUUUUUUUCUUUUUAUUUAACUGCAGACACAGAAUUUAAAACACAGGAAGUUCUGCUUCCUCGACAGCUGCAUUCAAAAGCAGUGCAUUUCUUUCUGUUUCUGACCUGAGUCUGGCCCGUAGGCUACCUCCUGAAGUUGAGAGUGUUUCUGCCUCUGGUGAAGCCUUGUGUUAGCUUUCACACACAUGACGUUAAGGGGUGAAUUGUCCUUUCUUAUUUUUUCUCAUUUCUCUUAUUGCUAUUUUGAAAACUCCUCUAGAGUAUGGGCGAAGAAAGUAAAAGUGAAACUCAGCACAUUUUUUAAAAAUUAGUCAUUGUAUUUUUCAAAGGAAAGUUGCUGAAAGAGAAACCAAGGGAAUCUACAUAUUAGAACAAGAUCUAGGGGCCAGAAGAGGAGGCAGUAUAUAUUCAAAGUUCCUGCUAAUUAUCAGAGAAAUGCACAUCAAAACUACAGUGAAGUACCACCUCAUGCUGGUCAGAAUGGCCAUCAUAACAUCAGUUCAGCCACCAAAUCUAUCUAUAAGUCUGGGGAAAGGAGCCACAGAGGAAGACUGUGGGGAGAUGAGAGUCAUGACGAGAAAAACCACUUGUUGCUCUAACCACUUCUCCCAGGAGGAGACUGUGACCCCAGGGAGUUUCUCUGGGAGCUUUGCCAUUGAAACCUCUGUACAUCCCCUGGCAACAGAUGAUUUGCUGCACUGCUGAAAGGAGCAGACAGGGGCUGGGCGCGGGGAGUGCCGAAGCUCACAAAGGAACUGUCCUCUUAAAUAACAAGCCCACUGCUCGCCAAGGCUGCUGGAGCGCUUUCAUUCAACAGGGGUCUGGAGCAACCACCUCUCUGCCUGGCAUAUAAAUCUCUGUGGGCUUUCUUCCUUCUAGGUUUUUUUCUCUUUUGGGUGUGGAUGGGUUCUAUUGUCUGUUGCUUUGCUUUUUUUUUAGUUGAGAAAAAUCUGAUUAAAGAACUGAUAAUUU
Molecule: long non-coding RNA, 1064 nt
Organism: Phacochoerus africanus (Common warthog)
Lineage: Eukaryota; Metazoa; Chordata; Mammalia; Artiodactyla; Suidae
Exons: 3
Source: RefSeq, a predicted model, not a curated record